UUUAUGGAGAGUUUGAUCCUGGCUCAGGAUGAACGCUGGCGGCGUGCCUAAUACAUGCAAGUCGAGCGAACGGACGAGAAGCUUGCUUCUCUGAUGUUAGCGGCGGACGGGUGAGUAACACGUGGAUAACCUACCUAUAAGACUGGGAUAACUUCGGGAAACCGGAGCUAAUACCGGAUAAUAUUUGAACCGCAUGGUUCAAAAGUGAAAGACGGUCUUGCUGUCACUUAUAGAUGGAUCCGCGCUGCAUUAGCUAGUUGGUAAGGUAACGGCUUACCAAGGCAACGAUGCAUAGCCGACCUGAGAGGGUGAUCGGCCA
Molecule: ribosomal RNA, 319 nt
Filed under: Staphylococcus aureus
Lineage: Bacteria; Bacillati; Bacillota; Bacilli; Caryophanales; Staphylococcaceae
Description: bacterial SSU rRNA
Rfam family: Bacterial small subunit ribosomal RNA
Source: RNAcentral